UACGUAGGGUGCAAGCGUUGUCCGGAAUUAUGGGGCGUAAAGAGCUCGUAGGCGGUUUGUCGCGUCUGCUGUGAAAACUCGGGGCUUAACUCCGGGCCUGCAGUGGGUACGGGCAGACUAGAGUGCGGUAGGGGAGGCUGGAAUUCCUGGUGUAGCGGUGAAAUGCGCAGAUAUCAGGAGGAACACCGGUGGCGAAGGCGGGUCUCUGGGCCGAUACUGACGCUGAGGAGCGAAAGCGUGGGGAGCGAACAGG
This 253-nucleotide ribosomal RNA is filed under the name uncultured bacterium. RNAcentral's name for it is "partial 16S ribosomal RNA". It matches the Rfam family "Bacterial small subunit ribosomal RNA", at positions 524 to 776 of the family's 1533-position model. The record is from RNAcentral.